Molecule: ribosomal RNA, 1307 nt
Filed under: Barbitistes serricauda
Lineage: Eukaryota; Metazoa; Arthropoda; Insecta; Orthoptera; Tettigoniidae
Description: 16S ribosomal RNA
Rfam family: Bacterial large subunit ribosomal RNA (bases 877-1231)
Source: RNAcentral
AGGUAAUUAUUAAAUAUAUUUAUGUAAGAAUGUAUUAAUUUAAAUAAUUUUAAUGAAUAAUUUUUAGUAAUGUUUAUGGAAAUAGUAAAAAGGAUGAUAGUAAAAAGUACUGUGAAGGGAAAGUGAAAUAGGAUGAAAUAGUAAUUGGGUAAAAAGAAAAAUAGUAUUUGUACCUUGGGUAUCAGGGUUUAUUAAAUAAUAAUAAUGAUGAUGUAUAAUUCCCGAAUUAAGAAGAGUGAAGAUAGUAAAAUAGUUAAUGUAGUAUGAUUAUUAUUUAUAUUAUUUUUGGGAAUGAAAUGUUAAACGGUUUUUAAGUUAUCUGGUUUUUUAAGAGAUGAAUUUAAUUCAUAUUAUUAAGAGUGAAUAUUGAUUUAUUAUCAAUAAUUAUUUUUUGAUAUUAAAUUUAUAGGGGGAUAAGCUCUUAUAAAGUAAUUACAAAUUAUAUAGAUAACAGAAGUUGUAGGCUUUAAAUUAGCUAUCUAUUAAAUAAUGUUAUAAAUUGUUUUGUAAGUAAGUUAUUUUAAUAAUUUUUUUAAUUAGUUUAUUGAAAUAUUAUAUUUAAUUAUAAAAUAUAAGUGAUAAUGAUGAAAUGAGUAUAUAUAGUUGUUGCUAAUAAGUAGUUGGAAAUUUAUAGUAAGGAACUAGGCAAAAUUAUCACUCGCCUGUUUAUCAAAAACAUCUCCUUUUGUAUUUAUAAAAGGUUGGGCCUGCCCACUGAAAGAAUUGAAGGGCCGCGGUAUUAUGACCGUGCAAAGGUAGCAUAAUCAUUAGUCUUUUAAUUGAAGGCUGGAAUGAAUGGUUUAACGAGGUGAUAACUGUCUCACUAUUAUAGCUAGAAGUUAACUUUUAAGUCAAAAGGCUUAAAUUUUUAUAGGGGACGAGAAGACCCUAUAGAGCUUAUAUAUACAAAUAUAGAUUUAUGUUGUGGUAGAAAAGAGGAAUCUAUAUUAAUUAUAUUGUGUUGGGGUGACAUGAAGAUAUAAUAAACUCUUUAUUUUAGUAACAUUGAUGUAUGGAUAAUUGAUCCAUUUUUAAUGAUCAUAAGAUUAAGUUACCUUAGGGAUAACAGCGUAAUUUUCUUUGAGAGUUCAUAUCAACAGGGAAGAUUGCGACCUCGAUGUUGGAUUAAGGAAUAUAUUUAGAUGCAGUCGUUUAAUUUAUAGGUCUGUUCGACCUUUAAAUCCUUACAUGAUCUGAGUUCAGACCGGCGUGAGCCAGGUCGGUUUCUAUCUUUAUUGAAAUUAUAUAUUUUAGUACGAAAGGACCAAGUAUUUUAAAUAUUUUUAUAGUUUAUAUGAUUAGUAAUA